This 384-nucleotide ribosomal RNA is filed under the name uncultured bacterium. Its description in RNAcentral is "bacterial SSU rRNA". It matches the Rfam family "Bacterial small subunit ribosomal RNA", at positions 458 to 841 of the family's 1533-position model. The record is from RNAcentral.
CGUGUGGCGUUUUGCGAGUACCUGAAGAAAAAGCAUCGGCUAACUCCGUGCCAGCAGCCGCGGUAAUACGGAGGAUGCGAGCGUUAUCCGGAUUUAUUGGGUUUAAAGGGUGCGCAGGCGGAAUGUCAAGUCAGCGGUAAAAUUUCGGGGCUCAACCCCGUCGUGCCGUUGAAACUGGCGUUCUUGAGUGAGCGAGAAGUAUGCGGAAUGCGUGGUGUAGCGGUGAAAUGCAUAGAUAUCACGCAGAACUCCGAUUGCGAAGGCAGCAUACCGGCGCUCAACUGACGCUCAUGCACGAAAGCGUGGGUAUCGAACAGGAUUAGAUACCCUGGUAGUCCACGCAGUAAACGAUGAAUACUAACUGUCCGGGCAGAAUGAUGCCUG